This 251-nucleotide ribosomal RNA is filed under the name uncultured prokaryote. Its description in RNAcentral is "partial 16S rRNA". It matches the Rfam family "Bacterial small subunit ribosomal RNA", at positions 525 to 775 of the family's 1533-position model. The record is from RNAcentral.
ACGGAGGAUGCAAGCGUUAUCCGGAUUUAUUGGGUUUAAAGGGUCCGCAGGCGGAAUAAUAAGUCAGGGGUGAAAGCCUACGGCUCAACCGUAGAACUGCCCUUGAUACUGUUAUUCUAGAGUACAGUUGAGGUUGGAGGAAUGUGCCAUGUAGCGGUGAAAUGCGUAGAUACGGGGCGGAACACCAGUGGCGAAGGCGCUUAACCGGACGGAAACUGACGCUCAGUCACGAAAGCGUGGAGAUCAAACAG